UGUUGAGCUACAUUUAAAGGAGGGCGGGCCCCUACAGGCUGCUGCUGUUGGUUCACCAUGUAGUGAGGCCUAAUCGUCGGCUGCUGAAACCGCGAGUGCGAGGGAGGAGGCAUUUGUUGUUGUGAGGCUGCUACUGCUUGUGGUUGCCACUCGGGGAUGUCGUCGUCGUCAUCAUUCCAUGGUUGGAUGGCUACCGAGCUGAAGCCACUCCUUUCUCCCCAGUUCACGGUGUAGGCAGCGUUUUUACCUAAGUUUUG
Molecule: unclassified non-coding RNA, 257 nt
Filed under: Hevea brasiliensis (rubber tree)
Lineage: Eukaryota; Viridiplantae; Streptophyta; Magnoliopsida; Malpighiales; Euphorbiaceae
Source: RNAcentral